UACGAAGGGGGCUAGCGUUGCUCGGAAUCACUGGGCGUAAAGGGUGCGUAGGCGGGUCUUUAAGUCAGGGGUGAAAUCCUGGAGCUCAACUCCAGAACUGCCUUUGAUACUGAAGAUCUUGAGUUCGGGAGAGGUGAGUGGAACUGCGAGUGUAGAGGUGAAAUUCGUAGAUAUUGGGAAGAACACCAGUGGCGAAGGCGGCUAACUGGUCCAGUACUGACGCUGAGGUGCGAAAGCGUGGGGAGCAAACAGG
RNAcentral lists this ribosomal RNA (253 nucleotides) under uncultured bacterium. RNAcentral describes it as "partial 16S ribosomal RNA". It matches the Rfam family "Bacterial small subunit ribosomal RNA", at positions 524 to 776 of the family's 1533-position model. The record is from RNAcentral.